Small nuclear RNA from Crocodylus porosus (Australian saltwater crocodile), 117 nucleotides. Its record names the gene U5. It matches the Rfam family "U5 spliceosomal RNA". From Rfam's summary of the family: U5 RNA is a component of both types of known spliceosome. The precise function of this molecule is unknown, though it is known that the 5' loop is required for splice site selection and p220 binding, and that both the 3' stem-loop and the Sm site are important for Sm protein binding and cap methylation. The record is from Ensembl. NCBI's taxonomy places the organism in Eukaryota, Metazoa, Chordata, Crocodylia, Crocodylidae.
AUAUUCCAGUGUCUCUUCAAACCGUAUAAAUCAUUCACCUUUUUACUAAAGAUUUCCAUGGAGAGGAACAGUUAUGAGUCUUCACACAAUUUUUCGUGGCCCUGUUCAGGUGGGGCA